RNAcentral lists this transfer RNA (72 nucleotides) under Douinia plicata. Its description in RNAcentral is "tRNA-Gln". It matches the Rfam family "tRNA". From Rfam's summary of the family: Transfer RNA (tRNA) molecules are approximately 80 nucleotides in length. Their secondary structure includes four short double-helical elements and three loops (D, anti-codon, and T loops). Further hydrogen bonds mediate the characteristic L-shaped molecular structure. tRNAs have two regions of fundamental functional importance: the anti-codon, which is responsible for specific mRNA codon recognition, and the 3' end, to which the tRNAs corresponding amino acid is attached (by aminoacyl-tRNA synthetases). tRNAs cope with the degeneracy of the genetic code in two manners: having more than one tRNA (with a specific anti-codon) for a particular amino acid; and 'wobble' base-pairing, i.e. permitting non-standard base-pairing at the 3rd anti-codon position. Lineage: Eukaryota; Viridiplantae; Streptophyta; Jungermanniopsida; Jungermanniales; Scapaniaceae. RNAcentral also lists the same sequence under 3 other names. The record is from RNAcentral.
UGGGGCGUAGCCAAGUGGUAAGGCAGCGGGUUUUGAUCCCGUCAUUCAGAGGUUCGAAUCCUUUCGUCCCAG